RNAcentral lists this ribosomal RNA (350 nucleotides) under uncultured Bacteroidota bacterium. RNAcentral's name for it is "bacterial SSU rRNA". It matches the Rfam family "Bacterial small subunit ribosomal RNA", at positions 1032 to 1382 of the family's 1533-position model. Lineage: Bacteria; Pseudomonadati; Bacteroidota. The record is from RNAcentral.
GUCAAGGUGCUGCAUGGUUGUCGUCAGCUCGUGCCGUGAGGUGUCGGGUUAAGUCCCAUAACGAGCGCAACCCUAUUGUUAGUUGCCAUCAGGUCAUGCUGGGGACUCUAACAAAACUGCCCGCGUAAGCGUGGAGGAAGGUGGGGAUGACGUCAAAUCAGCACGGCCCUUACGUCCAGGGCUGCACACGUGCUACAAUGGCCGGUACAGAGGGCAGCCACUUGGUGACAAGGAGCAAAUCUCAAAAGCCGGUCUCAGUUCGGAUCGGAGUCUGCAACUCGACUCCGUGAAGUUGGAUUCGCUAGUAAUCGUAGAUCAGCAAUGCUACGGUGAAUACGUUCCCGGGCCUU